This 2291-nucleotide long non-coding RNA is filed under the name Mus musculus (house mouse). RNAcentral describes it as "long non-coding RNA chr15:95816760-95819051". Lineage: Eukaryota; Metazoa; Chordata; Mammalia; Rodentia; Muridae. The record is from RNAcentral.
CAGGUAAUCAGAUUUGUCAGCAAGACGGUCUGCUCACUGAGUGUGUCUCUCCAGGCCAAGAACCAAUUUUUAUUCUCAUAUUCUAAGUUUGAUUUUAGAAAAGUAAUGCAAGUACUUUAUUAUUGUUGUUGCUAUGGUGUUUCUGUUUGUUUAUGCAUUUAUUCUGAGACAGAGUCCCAUAUCUGGCCUCGAAUUCCUGCCUCUCCCUUGCCUCCACCUCCCCAAAGCUAGGAUUGCAGGUAUUUGCUUCGACAUCCAGAUAUUUCUUCUUAUCAAAUGUUUGUCACAUUUUGGUAGAGACUGUAGUCUUUAACCUUUUGACUAGAAGACCUAGGGUUAAACAAAUUAUGAAAAACUCCCCACAUUGCAAAUGAGAACCUAGGACCUACCAACUGUCUAGUAAUGAGGUAGAGACCUGGAUUAUGCACAUGGCGUAUUUAAAUGCCUGAAAGUGAAUAUUCCUGCUGCCUGCUGGUGUUUUAUUAUGUGUUACCUCUGAUUGACAGGUCGUGAAACAAUCGCGUUUUAAAAAAAACUGUUCAAGAUUGGACCUCACAUUUGACUUUUGUAUUUUAUAAUUGAGAAUAAGCUAGGUUUUACUUAAAACUCCUCCAUGUAAUAACAACCUCUUAUAUUUGUGAUCCAAUCAAGCCACCAGUAUUUUAACAUGCUCAGAUUGUCAAAAUGUCUAUUUAUUAGAGAAUUCUUAACUUUAUGGGCACCCGUUCCUGUAAUUUAUGCAUGUCAUCCCAUCUCUUGCCUUCCUUCUCUCUCUUUUUUUUUUAAUUCUAGUUUUGCAUGUUUAAUCUGCUGGUCAUCUGUAACCCAGGUCACCUUUCCACUUGGAGAAGACCAGUGCUCACUGCAGCAGCUUUGUCCUCUGCCUUGGACAUCUUUUCCUCCAGGAAAAGCAGGGCUGUGAGGGUGGAGGUUGCCAUGGUUACCGUUCCUUGGGUGUUGUCUGUAAAGGAGAUACCUUGGAAUCACAGACUUCUUAGUUUGGUAAGGACCGCUCUGAACAGAGCAGCAAAACCAGCCAGGUGGUGGUGCAUGCCUGUAACCCCCACAUUGGAAGGCUGAGACAGGAGAACUAUGAGUUUGGGGGCUCAGCUCGGUUUUUGAGACAGGGUCUUAAAAACACAAAAGCAAAACAAAACCACAGAGAAACAAUCCUAAACUGAGAAUCCCCAUCAGUUGAGACUAUAAUGCUGAUCCCAGACCUGGUGACUUAAUGGCAGUGUUUGCUAAGAGGAGAUACUGGAAUUGGGAUAGUCCUGAAUGACUCCGCCUGCCCCUGGGAGUUUCUUCUUUUGAUCCUGAUGUUAUCACAGGUCAGUUUAUGAUCAUGGUAUCAUAAAGUUGAUGCUGUACCUGACACAUGUGUGCAAAUGCAUUCUUGUGCCUGUACACCCAAGCACACAUACACACACAUGUGUACACACACACAUGCAUGCGCGCGCACAUACACACACACACACACACACACACACACACACCAUGGAUGAAGGAUCAUCGUGUACUGCAUCUCUAUCUAGCCUUGUUAAACACCACCAAAGUGAUCAUUUCAGACUCUGGACCACAUUUUCCUAAGGUAUUUUGGAUAGUUUAUUUUCCUAUCUGUCUGUCUGCUGUUGCAUGGUGACCUGAGAUAGGCUGUGCUUUCCCAUUUAUUUGGUUGUUACUUCUGUUAAUCAUUACAGAAUCUUAUUAUGACUGCCUGCAUAUAAAUCAAGAAAAACAAAUUUGAUUUCUAGCAUUCUAAUGUAGCAAAGCAAAUUUGUGCGUCUAGGAAGUUUGCUCUGUCAAUGUCAGGAACAGAGAGAAAAUAAAUGUGGCUGCAAAUGCUAGCUGUUACAAUCUUCUUUUGACCCCAAUGGCCCUUUAAAUAGCCCAAAUAAUGACUGUUUGAUAUUUAUUAUUAAGCAUAUUAAAUUCCUUGAUUAAUUGAAGCAUUUAGUCCUCUUUUUUUUGUUCUGUGUAGCAGUGAAAAUAGAUUGUUCUAUUAUCAUUCUUGCUAGGAAACAUAAAAUUAUUCAUAAAUGUAUUUUAAACAGGAGAUAUAUUCAGGUAUCAUUGGGUAUACGGAGCAGAAAAUGUUUCACAUUUGAAUGGCAGGCACAAGAUUAUAAAUGCCUUUCCUACUGAAUAUUAAUCACUGGUGGUUCCAUAUGGCUGGUGGAUAAAGCUCUGAGAGGCGGCCCAGAGAUGUAAAUUCCUACCCUACUGUGAACUUUAUGCGAUUAGUUUGCUGUUUAAAAUUAACUGACUGGCCUUCAAAUUAUUUAAAAAAG